UUUUUUUUUUUGUAAGUCAAAAUUUCGUCGGAAAUUUCUAACGGAAAUAAACUCCGUCGGAAUUUUCCUACGGAUUUAAAAUCCGUAGGAAAUUAAUAUAUUCCGACGGAUUAAUUUUCCUUCGGAAUUUACAGCCUCCGACGGAAAAUUCCGUCGGAAGGAAUUUUUCGAGGGAAUAUUCCAUCGGAAGUAGUAAAUUCCGAGGGAAAAAAAUCCGUCGGAAUAUUUUCGAGGGAUUUUCCGUCGCAACUUAUCUUUUCCGACGUGCUUUUCUGACAGACAUAAAUUCCGUCGGAAAAUUCAAAUUUUCCGACGGAAAUUAAGUCCGUCGGAACUAUUCCGUCGGAAAACGGCCUAUUUCUAGUAGUGAUUGUAAAAGUUUUCCAAAUAACGAAAUAGUGCAAGUAUUUAAAAACGGACGGAAAUGAAAAGUGGAGUAUGUAUUUAAAAAUAGAGGGAGUAUAUAUUUGACAAUUCUUUAUAUAGAAUUGGGGAAAUGGGCGGGAAGUUUUUUUUAUAGUGGAGUGAUAUGUGGAGCUUUUGCAUAUAAUAUCCUCUGCUUUAGUAUAUAGAUAUAUAGAUUAAUAUGCUUUUUCAAUUGGAGGCCCUCUUCAUUUCAUGGCCCUAUGCUAUGGGUCUCUUUGCACAUGCCCAUUGCCGACCCGACCUAUCGAUACACCCUCCACUGGUUAUUGAAAGAGUUUUCAAUUCCUUCAUUAUGUCAAUAAUUUGUUGUGAAACAUAUAGAUUCCGCUAGCUAAUUACCUUUUAAAUUUAUUAUUUCCUCUGUUUCAUAUUAGAUGACACAUUUUAUUUAGGUGCAUUUGUUAAUGCAUAAUUUCUAAUGAAAAUAUCUUUGAUUAUAUAUUAGCAAAAAUUAUAUUAAAAAAUAAUAGAUGUUGAAACGAUUCUAAUAAGACCCCACAUGACUAUAAUUUUCUUAAACAUAAAAUCACAAAACAAAGUCAAAGCAAGUUAUGUGAACAUUGCACAAAGUCAAGCUGUGUCAUCUAAUUUGGAACGAAAAAAGUACAAUACUCCCCCGUCCAUUUAUUACGAGCCUGAAUCUUAUUUAGUGACCUAAAAUAUUAGGCCUAUUUCUAUAUUUCAUGAAAAAUUACUUUCAUACCCCCACUUUUUACAAUUUUCUCAAACCAAAAUUCCCUAAGUACCCUUCAAAGUUGAUGCACACGUGUAACUAAAUGCAUUAAAUUGCACAAACCAAUAAUGUGCAUUAAAUGCAUUUUCAUUACUGUCCAAAAUGAUUAAUGUUACCUUUUAAAUUAUUAAUCUCAAUAAUGUACUUCCCACAUAAUUUUACAUUAAUUUUAUCCACUUUCCUUAAUUCCGUUAAAAAUGAGGACAUGUAAUAAAGGCACAAAGGGAGGAUUUGACCUAACAUGGUUCUAUAUAUAUAUAUAUAAGAAGAUGGGAGGAAUGGCAUUUAUUUAGAUGUCCAAAUUAAUAUAAUUUUCAGUUUUAAUCUUUAUUUUUUUGAAAUAGUGUACAACCAUGAUUUACUAUCCAAAUAACAAGGUUGUGAUACUUCUAUUCAUGCUAAUUAUUUUUUCUUUAACUAGCUUUGGGAGUGGAGCAAGAUUCAAAUGCCCUAUAGAACAUUCAAAUGAAAUUCCAAAACCCAAAAAUUAUUAUAUUCAUCGCAGAUUGCCUCCACCUUCAGGACCAUCAAGAAGACACAACGAUGGUGUUUUUACGAAGAAUGAUGAUGCUAAUCAAGUUAAUCAUCGUAACAUCUUAGCUUGAUAAUAAGUCAAUUACUCCAGACUCGUUCAGUAAUAUUGUAGUUUCAGUUUUUUGUUUUUAAAAGUCAUAUUAUAUAUCAUAUAUGACAUACAAUGAAUAAAAAUUUAGUCUACGUAUUGGAAUCAAGAUUACAGUUUUUUAUUUUAUUUUUAUUUUUAUUAUUAUUUUUCUUUUAAAUUUAUAGUUAUUGUUCUUUUAUUUUCUUACCUUCUAUCCUUUUUUGUUGCUUAGAUGGAGUAAAGGUGGGAACAAUUGGAAUUUGGAAAUGAGCAAGUAAGGAGCGGAAACUAAAUGUAGCGACUUAAGUUGGGUGAAAAACACUGAAAAUAUUUAAAUACGCCCAUGUGCAAGAUUCAAUCCAAAGUUAUUUUGUUUCUCAUUUGAUGAUUAAAUGGGCAAUAAGCAUAUUUUAAUCAUCAAAAUGAGCAAAAAAUAAAUAAAUUGGAUGCACCGUACAUCCGGGUGUAUAUAACAACCUUUGAAAAAAUAUUUUCGGCGAAGAUAAUUGGUUUAUGGUAGAAAUUUAAAUCGUUUUUACUCAGGAACUAAUGACAAUAUAUGUGCUUGUGUACAUAUUUUAACUUUUGCUUGUAGUUUACAAUUGCUCAUAUGUAAGUUCUAGCUUUUGUUGAAUUAAAUAUGUACUCCCUUCGUCCCUUUUUAUAGUUUUCAUUUAAAUUUUGACAUUAUUCAUAAUGUGAGAGAAUCUUCUAAAUUACUCUUAUUAUAUAAAACAUAACGUAAUAGUGUUGGGUCUUAUUUUAUUCGUUUCGAUAAAUAAAUUAUUAAUAUUCAAUUGUAUAUUUUUUACUAAUAACUAACAAUAUUUAUUGUCAAACUGUUGCACUGGCAACUUGCAUAGUCCAAAUGAGAACUAUACGAAGAUGAGAGUGAAUAAUGACAUUAACUUAGAUGUUCAAAUUAACAUAAUUUUCAGUUUUAAUCUUUAUUUUUUUUGAAAUAGUGUAAAACCAUGAUUAACUAUUCAAAUAACAAGGUUGUGAUACUUCUAUUCAUGCUAAUUAUUUUUUCUUUACCUAGCUUUGGGAGUGGAGCAAGAUAUAUAUAUAUAUAGUGGCGGACCUGGGCUUGUGCCUGGUGGGUCAAGUGACUCACCAGGGCCCAAAAAAAAUUCUAAGUUUUCUUUUUUUUUUUAAAAAAAAAAAUAAAAAUAAAAAAUAAAAAUUCUAACUUCAGCCUAUUCCCCUUUCACCUUCUCCUCGCCGCAGCUGCAAGUUUGCAACCACAUUUCGCGUUCCCCUUUCAUUCUCCCUCCUCAUUCACUAAAAUUCUAACUUCAGCCUGUUCCCCUUUCACCUUCUCCUCGCCGCAGCUGCAACCACAUUUCGCAUUCCCCUUUCAUUCUCCCUCCUCAUUCACUAAUGACUCAUGGUGGUCGUGAGAGAUAACGACUGUGUGGUUUGAUUUCUAGGAUUUUUUUUGGUGUUCAUGGUAUGAGCUUCUUUAAACUUUCCCCUUUAAAUUUCAAAUUUAAGGUUUCUUUGCAUAAUUACUAGUUCAAAUCUUUGAUUUUUUUUCGAUUUCUAGGGUUUCGAUUUGUAACUGUUGGUGGUGGUGGAGAGCAGCGAUGGGAAGACUCAGCUUAUCAAUCAUUUUCUAAUCAACAAGAGUUGGUAUAUUGUUAAUUUGCCUGGAUAUGGGUGAGUCUCUGUAAUUUUGGUUUUAAUUUGGGCAAUUUCUGUAAUUCUUGAGUCUAUUUCAUGCUGGGAAUAUUGUAUACUUGUAUUGUGAAUCAAUUGUUAUUCGUGUUUAUUCCUGAUCAUAUGCUUGAAUCAUAUUGAAGUGCCAAAAAAGGAUUGCUUUUACGCCUUGAGGCAUUGCUUCAAAAUUAUUGAUCAUCCUGUAAAACAUGUUGCGGACUGAUAUGUAUUUAGGCUACAUCCGUUGUAGUUAAUUUGGUCUCCAAUCGUGUUGUUUAUUUUCAAGUUUAGGAAGUAAAUGUCUCCUUACAUGU
This is a long non-coding RNA of Chenopodium quinoa (quinoa), 3739 nucleotides long. RefSeq lists it as uncharacterized. The transcript is spliced from 2 exons. The record is from RefSeq and is a predicted model, not a curated record. NCBI's taxonomy places the organism in Eukaryota, Viridiplantae, Streptophyta, Magnoliopsida, Caryophyllales, Amaranthaceae.